UGUAAGUGAGCUGAUGAUUCAAUAAUUUCCCCCUUUUUGGUGAUAAUUUGCAGUGUGCUUUAUCUUUUAUGGGAUACUGAAAACAAGGGUUAAAAAGUGCAUGAUGGAGUAGGAUCAUUCUAUGGAUACAUCAAAGGAACAGAUUGAAGGCAAUGCAACUUUUACAAAUAUUGAAGGUCAAGUGUUUUACUAUGCAGUUGC
This 201-nucleotide long non-coding RNA is filed under the name Sorghum bicolor (sorghum). Its description in RNAcentral is "long non-coding RNA (SBIC_LNC014033)". The record is from RNAcentral. Lineage: Eukaryota; Viridiplantae; Streptophyta; Magnoliopsida; Poales; Poaceae.